GAGUUUGAUCCUGGCUCAGGAUGAACGCUAGCGGCAGGCUUAACACAUGCAAGUCGAGGGGUAUAGUUCUUCGGAACUAGAGACCGGCGCACGGGUGCGUAACGCGUAUGCAAUCUACCUUUCACAGAGGGAUAGCCCAGAGAAAUUUGGAUUAAUACCUCAUAGUAUAAUUGAAUGGCAUCAUUUAAUUAUUAAAGUCACAACGGUGAAAGAUGAGCAUGCGUCCCAUUAGCUAGAUGGUAAAGUAACGGCUUACCAUGGCGACGAUGGGUAGGGGUCCUGACAGGCAGAUCCCCCAAACUGGUACUGAAACACGGACCAAACGGCUACGGGAGGUAAAAAUGAGUAAUAUUGUUCA
RNAcentral lists this ribosomal RNA (358 nucleotides) under uncultured bacterium. RNAcentral describes it as "bacterial SSU rRNA". It matches the Rfam family "Bacterial small subunit ribosomal RNA", at positions 9 to 370 of the family's 1533-position model. The record is from RNAcentral.